Capsicum annuum is the source of this 99-nucleotide non-coding RNA. NCBI's taxonomy places the organism in Eukaryota, Viridiplantae, Streptophyta, Magnoliopsida, Solanales, Solanaceae. The record is from Rfam.
UUGCUAUGAUGAAAUUCAGCUUUUGAAAGUCACAAGGCUUGAAGAUGCAUCGGCAUCGACAUCGACAAUCAUGUCGAUUCUGAGCGGUUACCUGUGCAA